UUCCGGUUGAUCCUGCCGGACCCGACUGCUAUCAGAGUGGGACUAAGCCAUGCGAGUCAACGCAGCAAUGCGUGGCAUACGGCUCAGUAACACGUAGUCAACAUGCCCAGGGGACGUGGAUAACCUCGGGAAACUGAGGAUAAACCGCGAUAGGCCAAGAUUUCUGGAAUGGAUCAUGGCUGAAACCUACAUGGCCCCUGGAUUGGACUGCGGCCGAUCAGGCUGUUGGUGAGGUAGUGGCCCACCAAACCUGUAACCGGUACGGGCUCUGAGAGGAGGAGCCCGGAGAUGGGCACUGAGACAAGGGCCCAGGCCCUAUGGGGCGCAGCAGGCGCGAAACCUCUGCAAUAGGCGAAAGCUUGACAGGGUUACUCUGAGUGAUGCCCGUUAAGGGCAUCUUUUGGCACUUCUAAAAAUAGUGUAGAAUAAGGGGUGGGCAAGUCUGGUGUCAGCCGCCGCGGUA
Molecule: ribosomal RNA, 463 nt
Filed under: uncultured crenarchaeote
Lineage: Archaea; Thermoproteati; Thermoproteota
Description: bacterial SSU rRNA
Rfam family: Archaeal small subunit ribosomal RNA
Source: RNAcentral